GACGAACGCUGGCGGCGUGCUUAACACAUGCAAGUCGAACGGAAAGGCCCUGCUUUUGUGGGGUGCUCGAGUGGCGAACGGGUGAGUAACACGUGAGUAACCUGCCCUUGACUUUGGGAUAACUUCAGGAAACUGGGGCUAAUACCGGAUAGGAGCUCCUGCUGCAUGGGGGGGGUUGGAAAGUUUCGGCGGUUGGGGAUGGACUCGCGGCUUAUCAGCUUGUUGGUGGGGUAGUGGCUUACCAAGGCUUUGACGGGUAGCCGGCCUGGGAGGGUGACCGGCCACAUUGGGACUGAGAUACGGACCAGACUCCUACGGGAGGCAGCAGUGGGGAAUAUUGCACAAUGGGCGGAAGCCUAAUGCAGCAACGCCGCGUGCGGGAUGACGGCCUUCGGGUUGUAAACCGCUUUCGCCUGUGACGAAGCGUGAGUGACGGUAAUGGGUAAAGAAGCACCGGCUAACUACGUG
Molecule: ribosomal RNA, 468 nt
Filed under: uncultured bacterium
Lineage: Bacteria
Description: partial 16S ribosomal RNA
Rfam family: Bacterial small subunit ribosomal RNA
Source: RNAcentral